This 297-nucleotide ribosomal RNA is filed under the name Triticum aestivum (bread wheat). RNAcentral describes it as "partial small subunit ribosomal RNA". Lineage: Eukaryota; Viridiplantae; Streptophyta; Magnoliopsida; Poales; Poaceae. The record is from RNAcentral.
AUGUAUGUAGACUUGAUUAACAUUGGACCAAUCCCAAAGUCGCUUCAUAUUUGAAAAGUUAAGAUGGCGUUAAAAAUAAAGAUAUUUAUAUGGUUUGUGCACAAGGAAGUGAUUCUCACUAAGAACAACUUGACAAAAUGUAGAUGGGAGGGUAGUAAACGGUGCUGUUUUUGUGAUCAGGACGAAACAAUCCAACAUCUCAAAUGCUCAUUAGCCAAAUUAUGUGGUGUAAAAUACAUGUGUCCUUUAAUGUCUGUCCACCUAAUAGUAUCUCCAGUUUAUUUGGGACUUUGUUAA